This 75-nucleotide transfer RNA is filed under the name Phycisphaerales bacterium. Its description in RNAcentral is "tRNA-Arg". It matches the Rfam family "tRNA". Rfam says of the family: Transfer RNA (tRNA) molecules are approximately 80 nucleotides in length. Their secondary structure includes four short double-helical elements and three loops (D, anti-codon, and T loops). Lineage: Bacteria; Pseudomonadati; Planctomycetota; Phycisphaerae; Phycisphaerales. The record is from RNAcentral.
GCGCCCGUAGCUCAGCCCGGAUAGAGCGGCGGUUUCCUAAACCGCAGGUCGCAGGUUCGAGUCCUGCCGGGCGCG